Molecule: transfer RNA, 71 nt
Filed under: Loxodonta africana (African savanna elephant)
Lineage: Eukaryota; Metazoa; Chordata; Mammalia; Proboscidea; Elephantidae
Rfam family: tRNA
About the family: Transfer RNA (tRNA) molecules are approximately 80 nucleotides in length. Their secondary structure includes four short double-helical elements and three loops (D, anti-codon, and T loops). Further hydrogen bonds mediate the characteristic L-shaped molecular structure. tRNAs have two regions of fundamental functional importance: the anti-codon, which is responsible for specific mRNA codon recognition, and the 3' end, to which the tRNAs corresponding amino acid is attached (by aminoacyl-tRNA synthetases). tRNAs cope with the degeneracy of the genetic code in two manners: having more than one tRNA (with a specific anti-codon) for a particular amino acid; and 'wobble' base-pairing, i.e. permitting non-standard base-pairing at the 3rd anti-codon position.
Source: Rfam by way of RNAcentral
GCAGUGGUGGUUCAGUGGUAGAAUUCUCGCCUUCCAUGCGGGAGACCUGGGUUUGACUCCCAGCCAAUGAA